This 75-nucleotide transfer RNA is filed under the name Actinomycetospora sp. NBRC 106375. RNAcentral's name for it is "tRNA-Leu". It matches the Rfam family "tRNA". Rfam says of the family: Transfer RNA (tRNA) molecules are approximately 80 nucleotides in length. Their secondary structure includes four short double-helical elements and three loops (D, anti-codon, and T loops). The record is from RNAcentral. Lineage: Bacteria; Bacillati; Actinomycetota; Actinomycetes; Pseudonocardiales; Pseudonocardiaceae.
GCCGGCGUACUCCAAUCGGCAGAGAGGGCGAUUUUAGGGGUCGCACAGUGCGGGUUCGAAUCCCGUCGCCGGCAC